Molecule: ribosomal RNA, 488 nt
Filed under: uncultured bacterium
Lineage: Bacteria
Description: bacterial SSU rRNA
Rfam family: Bacterial small subunit ribosomal RNA
Source: RNAcentral
GAUGAACGCUAGCGACAGGCUUAACACAUGCAAGUCGAGGGGCAGCGAGGGCGUAGCAAUACGCCUGUCGGCGACCGGCGCACUGGUGAGUAACACGUAUGCGACCUGCCCCCUACAGGGGUAUAACCCGUAGAAAUGCGGACUAAUCCCCCAUAGUCCUGCGGGCUGCAUGGCCUGCGGGGGAAAGGGUUUCCGGUAGGGGAUGGGCAUGCGGCGCAUUAGCUGGUUGGCGGGGCAACGGCCCACCAAGGCGACGAUGCGUAGGGGUUCUGAGAGGAAGGUCCCCCCACAUUGGAACUGAGACACGGUCCAAACUCCUACGGGAGGCAGCAGUGAGGAAUAUUGGUCAAUGGGCGAGAGUCUGAACCAGCCAAGUAGCGUGCAGGAUGACGGCCCUCCGGGUUGUAAACUGCUUUUAGGCGGGGUAAAGGAGCGGACGUGUUCCGCUUUUGCAAGUACCGCCAGAAAAAGGACCGGCUAAUUCCGUG